UACGUAGGGUGCAAGCGUUAAUCGGAAUUACUGGGCGUAAAGCGUGCGCAGGCGGUUGUGCAAGACAGAUGUGGAAUCCCCGGGCUUAACCUGGGAAUGGCAUUUGUGACUGCACGGCUAGAGUGUGUCAGAGGGGGGUAGAAUUCCACGUGUAGCAGUGAAAUGCGUAGAUAUGUGGAGGAAUACCGAUGGCGAAGGCAGCCCCCUGGGAUAACACUGACGCUCAUGCACGAAAGCGUGGGGAGCAAACAGG
This 253-nucleotide ribosomal RNA is filed under the name uncultured bacterium. RNAcentral describes it as "partial 16S ribosomal RNA". It matches the Rfam family "Bacterial small subunit ribosomal RNA", at positions 524 to 776 of the family's 1533-position model. The record is from RNAcentral.